RNAcentral lists this ribosomal RNA (2259 nucleotides) under Triticum aestivum (bread wheat). RNAcentral describes it as "partial small subunit ribosomal RNA". Lineage: Eukaryota; Viridiplantae; Streptophyta; Magnoliopsida; Poales; Poaceae. The record is from RNAcentral.
AUGGUAAUCUUCAUAGCAAGCAUCUUCUUCCCAGCAGUGGGAACACUUGCCCGAGCCUCUUCUGGACACUCCAUGUCGUCACCAGCUUGCCCUGACAAGUGUGGCGACGUAUCCAUCCCAUACCCCUUUGGGAUUGGCGCGCACUGCGCUGCGAUCAGCCUCAACAGCUACUUCAACCUCGACUGCGACAGCACGGUCGAUCCACCAAGGCCAACUGUUGGUGAUCCGAAUGUAGCAGCUGAGAUCACCGACAUCUCACUGAAGAAUGGCGAGAUGCACCUAUACAGCCCCGUCAAUCACAUCUGCUUCACGUCGAACACCACAUUCACCAAGUUCACCACAGGGUACGAUCUGAAGCACACGCCCUUCCUCCCGUCACCGCCACGCAACCGUUUCACAGUCAUUGGCUGCAACACCCUUGGGCUCAUCACCGGCUACAAAGAAACCGUGGGCCAGUAUGUGACUGGUUGCUACUCGAACUGCGAGGGCAUCAACAACACGUCUGAGGACGCGCCAUGCAAUGGGAUGGGCUGCUGUGAGGUUGCCAUCCCCACCAACCUCACCUCCUUGGAGAUCAAAUUUGAGAUGACACAGAGCAGGGUAUGGAGCUUCAACCCAUGCUUGUACGCCAUGGUGGCUGAGGUCGGGUGGUACACCUUCGGGCAGCAGGACCUUGCCGGCACACUUGGGUUCAUCGAUGGUCGAGCUAACAGAGGUGCUGCCGUUGUUGUCGACUGGGCCAUUAGGAAUGGCUCAUGCCCGGAGAAGGGGAAAGACACACCUACUGACUAUGGUUGCAUCAGUACAAACAGCUAUUGCAUGGCCGCGAACAACGGUCCAGGAUACUUAUGCCAGUGCUCCGGAGGAUAUGAGGGCAAUCCUUAUCUUCUGAAUGGCUGUCAAGACAUAGACGAGUGCACAUUGCGUAAGCAGGACCCCAAGUAUGAAGAUUUGUAUCCAUGCAGACAAGGGGUCUGUAGCAACACACCCGGGAACUACUCUUGCAUAUGCAAGAGAGGAACACGACCUGAUGGUACAAAAUUUGGAUGCCGAUCUCUGUUGUCUUCAGAUCAAAAAUUGGUCAUUGGGCUCAGUAUUUCUGCAACUUCGGUGAUGGCCUUAGCAUGCUUGCUACUCAUGCAAUUUCAAAUAAGAAGGCACAAGAGGGAGAAAGAUGAGUAUUUCAGACAAAAUGGAGGUCUCAAGUUAUACGAUGAGAUGAGGUCAAAGCAGGUUGACACAAUCCGCAUACUUACGGAGAAAGAGAUAACGAGAGCCACUGACAACUACAAUGAAGAUCGAGUUAUUGGAUGUCGUGGUCAUGGUAUGGUCUACAGAGGAACUUUGGAUGAUCAAAAAGAGGUCGCCAUAAAGAAGUCCAAAGCAAUCAAUGCUGAUUGGAGAGAAGAAUUUGUCAAUGAGAUUAUAAUCUUGUCACAGAUCAAUCACAGAAACAUUGUGAGGUUACUAGGCUGUUGUCUGGACAAAGAUGUCCCAAUGUUGGUCUAUGAGUUUGUCUCCCAUGGUACUCUAUCCCAGUUCCUUCACGGUGCUGAUCGUAGAUUGCCAAUUCCCCUUGCUAUUCGCCUGAAGAUUGCUACACAGUCAGCAGAAGCUCUAGCUUACUUACAUUCAUCCACAUCUCGCACAAUCCUACAUGGCGAUGUCAAGUCUGCCAACAUUCUCUUGGAUGACAAGCUCAAUGCAAAGGUUGCUGAUUUCGGAGCAUCAGCACUUAAGUCCAUGGAUGAAAGUGAGUUCAUCAUGUUUGUCCAUGGAACACUGGGAUACCUUGACCCUGAGAGCUUUAUCAGCCAUCUUCUCACUGAGAAAAGCGAUGUAUACAGUUUCGGGGUUGUUCUUCUCGAGCUAAUGACACGAAAGAGAGCUAUAUAUACCAACAACUUUAAUGGAAAGCACUCACUGUCAUAUAGCUUUCCCUUGAUGUUUCAUCGGAAGACGCACCACGUUAUGCUGGACUCUGAAAUUACAGAUGACGCGGGUAUGGUGGUCCUUGAGAACAUGUGUGAACUCGCAGUUCACUGCCUUAGCCAGAGGGGAGAUGACAGGCCAACAAUGAAGGAAGUUGCAGAGAGGCUAGAUAUGAUGAGGAGACUCUAUUCGCACGCCACCAGUGCUUGUGAACAUAACUGCUUUGCACGUAGUUAUGGAGCAUCACCUUCAGUGGCUGUCCCUUUGAACGAGACAACACGUGGGACUAUCGAUAUGUCUGAGCUGGUUGAAGAUCUUGCAAGAUGA